AGCUAAUAGAUACCCAGGUAGUCCACGCCCUAAACGAUGUCUACUAGUUGUUGGUGGAGUAAAAUCCAUGAGUAAACGCAGCUAACGCGUGAAGUAGACCGCCUGGGGAGUACGGUCGCAAGAUUAAAACUCAAAGGAAUUGACGGGGGGCCCGCACAAGCGGUGGAUUAUGUGGAUUAAUUCGAUGCAACGCGAAAAACCUUACCUGGCCUUGACAUGCCACUAACGAAGCAGAGAUGCAUUAGGUGCCCGUAAGGGAAAGUGGACACAGGUGCUGCAUGGCUGUCGUCAGCUCGUGUCGUGAGAUGUUGGGUUAAGUCCCGCAACGAGCGCAACCCUUGCCAUUAAUUGCCAUCAUUUAGUUGGGCACUUUAAUGGGACUGCCGGUGACAAACCGGAGGAAGGUGGGGAUGACGUCAAGUCCUCAUGGCCCUUAUGGCCAGGGCUUCACACGUAAUACAAUGGUCGGUACAGAGAGUUGCCAACCCGCGAGGGGAGCUAAUCUCAGAAAGCCGAUCGUAGUCCGGAUUGUUCUCU
Molecule: ribosomal RNA, 537 nt
Filed under: uncultured bacterium
Lineage: Bacteria
Description: bacterial SSU rRNA
Rfam family: Bacterial small subunit ribosomal RNA
Source: RNAcentral